GAUUCAGAAGGUCUAGAUGAGGGCUACAGGGUUCUGAAUUUUCAGGUGAUUCUGAUGCAGGUGGCCCAAGGACUGUACUUAAAGAAACCUUUUAGGACCAGCAGUCCUAGGAAGCCAGAGACGGGAUGGUCCAGAGUCUCCUGGGAGCUAUUGCAAAUCCAUAUGCCUGAAUGCCACACCAAACUCAAAGAAUCAGGAGCUCUGGAGGAAGAAGACCUGAAUAUGUGUUUCUGGAAAGAACUGCUGAAGUUUUCUGCAACACUCCCUGACCUUGCUGUGUUCUGGAAUUGUGAUUUGACGCCUGUGUUGGGUGAAACCCCAGGAAUUCAGGCCUUUUGUAUGGCCAAAUCGGUAGGGGCCUCCUUUUAGCCCUCUUACUAAAGCUCUACUCAUAUUGCUUUUUUAAAAAAUGGGACUCCAAAUAAUGCUUGUUUGCUUGUUUUUGGUAUACUGAGGAGAGAGCAUUCUGGGGAAAAAAUAGAAAAAGGAAGAAAAAUUAUUUUAAAACCACAACCGUAGAAUUAAUAUCAGAGAUUUCACUAAGGCCAUAUAGUUCAUUUUUAUCAUUUUGAACCAGCUUUGUAUCCAGCUUCAUUUCCCCUUUCUCCUACAAAAGGUGUGAUAUUGAGGGAGUGUCUUGAAUCAUGAGAAUCUCCGAAUCUAAAUGUUAACAAGUGAUAUUAAUAAACUUAAUUUUAUUGUCACCUAAAAUUCAAAAAGUCACACAUUUCAUUUUAUUAUUAUCUAAAGAUAAUGCUACAGAAAUAAUCAUAAAAAAACAAUAAAUUGACAGUUAAAUCCGUAAGUUAGUUACAACUGAUUUUUCACAAGCUUUCCACUUCCACUCAGCUAUCAGCACCAAGAAAAAGGCUGAUUUAUUCUCUGUAUGCUUCAUAAUGAGCGCAUGGACUGAAUGAACUGAGUGUUCUAUUUAUUCCUGGUUACAAACUGGCAAGGUUGCCAUUGGACCAAGAAAAAUGUUUCUAGUGUUAUUAUUAAUGUCUGUUAAGAACCCAGAGUCUGGAUUGUGACCAUAAAAUUUAUAAUACAAAAUUUAUAGUCUGUCAAACACUGAAAGUCAAAAACUAAAAACAGGAAACGAACUAAAUGUAAAAACGUAGGUGGACUAAGAAUAAGCGUUAACUACUUGCUAGAAAGAUUUUUUUUCUUAUUUAAAAAAUAUUUUUGUUCUGAUAGGGCCAUCUUAAGGUUCAAAAUCAACUAAUUAAAAUGAUUUGUACAGAAAAUGCUUAUACUCACAAUUUCUGAUUUUGCUGCACGUGGAAGAGGGUGAUAACCAAUGAAAUGACUAAAUAAGUUUAAAAGUUAUUUAGAUCACAACUUUGACCCAUUCUGCUCAUCACAUUUGUCUUUAACAGAGCCUCCAGGCGGCAAACAUGACCUAUGUACACUUUAUUCUUUUCUCUCUUGCUAAGCAGUCGAAAAAAUCCCAGGGAGAUAGCUCAAAGUUAAACUCAAGAUGGAGAAGAAACAUUGUAAUAUGUAUUGUGGCUGAGGAAAAAAAAGUUUAAAAAACAUUUUCAAUAUUAUCUUUGCACAAUCAUCUAUUUAACAAACAUUGAUUGAGUACCUUCCACUCCUAGGCAUUGGGGAUGUAAAAAUGAGGCCAUUGUUUGUCAUCUAGGAGAGAGGUUUCAGUCCCAUAGUAGUGGCCCAUUAUUGAGCUGUGAAAUCAAUAUAAUAGGUUGUGACCACCAUUUUUUUUUUCAAAAACAGAUCAGAGUAGAAAAUAUUAAAGCAUGCCACUCAUAAUAAGGGAAUAUAUUAUUUCUCGGAGCUGUGUUUCAGUCUGCAUCUGUGUAAAUGUGAGCACGUGUGUGUGUGUUCCAGAUCACAAUGUAAAAAUGUAUUUUAAUGAUAGCUGCAUUAAAAAAGUUUGAAAGCAUCUGUUAAAGAGUCUACCAGACAUGAGAAUCGCUUGAACCAGGGAGCCGGAGGUUGCAGUAAGCAGAAAUCAUGCCGCUGCACUCCAGCCUGGGGGACAGAGCAAGACUCCAUUCCUCUCACCCCUAAAAAAUAGUCUGCCAGAGAAGUAGACAAUUAAAUAUAGAAUUAAAACAAAAUGUGACAGGUGUUUUUUUUAGAGAUGUGGAAAAGUAACCCUAAAAUCUAAAGAGAAAGAGUGGCUACCUCUGCCAGGAGUGGAAAUGACCACUGAGGGACAGUCUUGAUAUUCAAACUAGGUCCAAAAUGAUGAAAUUUGAGAUAGAGAGGGAGACUUGACAGGACAUUCCAGGCAGAAGGAACCAAUUGUGUGGGGAGUUCUGAAAGGGAACACUGUGUUUACACAGGGGUGAGAAUGUGGGGGUGGGGAGGAUAAGAUUUAUGGGGGCAAUGCGAGGGGAAUGGUAUGUGACAAAGAGAAGUGCAUAUGCAACAAGCUUGUCACUGAGGAGAAGAAUGACAAUGAUGGGCAUAGUUUGCUUUGCUUUGUUUUCUUAUUUUUGAGAAAGUAACAUUGUCACCAAGACUGCCUGGAAGAGAAAGAGAGACAAGUGAGAAGAUUCUUGCCAUUCAUUCAGGCUAAUGCUGAUGAGAAUUGAGCAUAGUAAAGGUGGAGAGGAGGAGAUGUCACAUUUGGAAAGCAAUUCUAACAGAAUCCACAUGAUUUCAAGUCUAAUUAUGCAUAUAUUCUGAGUUAUCAAUGAUUCAAGUGAUCCUAUUAUUGCAAGACUACAAAGACAACAGCAUCAGAAGGUUUUCAGUUCUGGAAAAUCUAUGCAAAAUAGAAGUUAGCAGAUGGAUCAAGAAACCCACAGAACAAUGUUUGUGUUGAAGAAUUCUCAGCAAGUGCCCUGUGAGAGUGCUCCCAUCUGGAAAGGACUGCAGCUGUCUUUUGGCAUUAACUAGAUGGGUGUUUGUAACAGGUUCAUGUCAACUCUUUCAUAGAAAAUCAACUCCUAAAAUCAUUGUAAAAUUAAAGAGUUAUUUUAAUGAAUUUCUCCAUCCUGUAUUAAUUCAGGCACAUAACUCCAUUUUGAAUUUAAAGUGGCCUUGGCCAUUUUGUCAAUUAUCAUCUUUGCCUUGGUAGAUGAAGAAACACAUUCUGCUGGUCAGAGAGUGAGGCUGGUUAGAGUGGACCUGCCAAAAGAGUUGUACAACCAUCAUCACUACCAAUAUUAAAGUAUUUUCAUCACCCCAGAGAGAAACACGAUAUACCAAUUAGCAAUGACUCUUCAUUUUUCUCCAACCUCUCUCCCAUCAGACCUAGUUCAAACCCAGAUAGAAGGGAAAAAGAAAAGCAACUUUAUGAGAUCUAUGGAUAUCAGCAUCCCAGAUACAGAACACGGCAGAGAAGAGCAGAUAAUGGAUCUGUACUGGCAAUCAGGAAGUUGGAAUUAAUUGAAGAGUUGGAAACACAGUAGUGAAAUCUACAGAAAUGUGGAAGAUGAAGUAAUGAGAGACUGGAAACCAGGAGAUAAUUGGCAUAGUCAAGGUGGAAUAACUAACGACCUGUACCAAGGCCACAGCAGUUAAAAUCAAAGUCCUUAUGUGAUACAAUCAUUCACAAAGAGCAUCCAGCUCAACCUCUUAUUUUGUGAACAAGAUCUUCAAAGUCAGGGAAGAGUACCUGACUUAGUCCAUGGCACAUUGAACCAAGGCUAGAGCUUGGGUCUCUCCUCAUUUUCAUUCCAGCUUACUUGCCACAAUGGCAAAAUGCCUCAUUUCAUCUUGAUCUUAUUUCACGUAGUGAAAGAAUUGUAAAGCACCCUGAGUUUCCAUAGAAUCCUUCUCUUGGUCUUCUUAGAGACUCCCACUCAAGCCUGAUGGGACUUGCUGAUCAUUUAAUGAAGUACAAACAACUUAGAUGGAGAAUUAAAGGAUGCCCAUGCAGCUAAAAGCUGCUUGUCAUUUCCCAGUGCUUCCAGCCUUAGAAUAACUCUUCAGCGACUGAGUUCAGGUCUAUAAAGCUGCCCUGUACCCAGCCAAUCAUGUAAUUUCACACCAGUCUAGCUCCAUCCAAAAGAGGAAGGCCUGCAAAGGAAUGUCUCCUAGGGGCAUCAAGAGCAGAAAGACCUCUGUUCUUCUAAGAAAUGGACUUGGUGUAACUUGGACCUCUUGUGAGUCAAAGGGUGUGUACCUUCCUUUACAGCACCUCACAUCAGCUUUAGAAUGUUUAUCUGAUCCUCACAGAGAAAAAUAGUAUCUCAACUCCCCCAUAAUGGUAUCACUAGAGUUAAAAACAUUAAUUUGCAUUAAGCAGUUAGAAAAUAGUCAAACUGGCCUGGUGAGGUGGCUCACGCCUGUAAUCCCAGCACUUUGGGAGGCAGAGGCGGGCAUCAGGAUCUCAAGACCAGCCUGGCCAAGAUGGUGAAACCCCGUCUCUACUCAAAAUGCAAAAAUUAGUCAGGCGUGGUGGCAGGCGCCUGUGGUCCUAGCUACUCAGGAGGCUGAGCCAGAGAAUCACUUGAACCCAGGAGGUGGAAGGUUGCAGUAAGCUGAGGUCACGCCACUGCACUCCAGCCUAGGCAACAGAGCGAGACGCUGUCUAAAAAAAAAACCAAAAAAGAAAGAAAAUACUCAAACUGCACCAUAGAGAUUCAAUUGUUCAAUCUAUCUGCCGAGUUUAGAUGUACUCCUUCACUUCAAUUUACUGUGAGAAUAGAUUAAAAUUUCCAAAUUUCCAAUAGACACUCAUCUUUAGAAUCUGAGAAUUUAAAAUUUGAAUUCCCCCAAGUUCACAAGAAUAUUCAGAAUCAUGUUGCUGUGCAUUUUUCAUCACAUUUUCUUUAUGUAAUAGUAAUGAAUCACCAUAACUAUAAAUAUAAAUCACUUUUGCUGUAAUAGGGUUAUACCAAAAGUUUCAAAAACUUUUGUUUAAAAAAAAUAAAUGAAUGUGUUAUUGUGAUUUG
This is a long non-coding RNA of Pan troglodytes (chimpanzee), 4874 nucleotides long. RefSeq lists it as uncharacterized. The transcript is spliced from 5 exons. Lineage: Eukaryota; Metazoa; Chordata; Mammalia; Primates; Hominidae. The record is from RefSeq and is a predicted model, not a curated record.